This 22-nucleotide ribosomal RNA is filed under the name Graphis scripta. RNAcentral's name for it is "partial 28S ribosomal RNA". Lineage: Eukaryota; Fungi; Ascomycota; Lecanoromycetes; Ostropales; Graphidaceae. The record is from RNAcentral.
CCUCGGAUCAGAUAGGAUACCC